Small nucleolar RNA from Anarrhichthys ocellatus (wolf-eel), 85 nucleotides. RefSeq annotates it as small nucleolar RNA SNORD100. The record is from RefSeq and is a predicted model, not a curated record. NCBI's taxonomy places the organism in Eukaryota, Metazoa, Chordata, Actinopteri, Perciformes, Anarhichadidae. The transcript has a single exon.
UGUAUCUCUGAUGAUAUCUUGGCUCACUCUACUGAACUCUAGUGUGGAAGCUUGCCAAUGUCACCCAAUUUUUGUCUGAGAUGUG